GACGAACGUUGGCGGCGUGCUUAACACAUGCAAGCCGAACGGAAAGGCCCUGCUUUUGUGGGGUGCUCGAGUGGCGAACGGGUGAGUAACACGUGAGUAACCUGCCCUUGACUUUGGGAUAACUUCAGGAAACUGGGGCUAAUACCGGAUAGGAGCUCCUGCUGCAUGGUGGGGGUUGGAAAGUUUCGGCGGUUGGGGAUGGACUCGCGGCUUAUCAGCUUGUUGGUGGGGUAGUGGCUUACCAAGGCUUUGACGGGUAGCCGGCCUGAGAGGGUGACCGGCCACAUUGGGACUGAGAUACGGCCCAGACUCCUACGGGAGGCAGCAGUGGGGAAUAUUGCACAAUGGGCGGAAGCCUGAUGCAGCAACGCCGCGUGCGGGAUGACGGCCUUCGGGUUGUAAACCGCUUUCGCCUGUGACGAAGCGUGAGUGACGGUAAUGGGUAAAGAAGCACCGGCUAACUACGUGCCAGCAGCCGCGGUGAUACGUAGGGUGCGAGCGUUGUCCGGAUUUAUUGGGCGUAAAGGGCUCGUAGGUGGUUGAUCGCGUCGGAAGUGUAAUCUUGGGGCUUAACCCUGAGCGUGCUUUCGAUACGGGUUGACUUGAGGAAGGUAGGGGAGAAUGGAAUUCCUGGUGGAGCGGUGGAAUGCGCAGAUAUCAGGAGGAACACCAGUGGCGAAGGCGGUUCUCUGGGCCUUUCCUGACGCUGAGGAGCGAAAGCGUGGGGAGCGAACAGGCUUAGAUACCCUGGUAGUCCACGCUGUAAACGGUGGGUACUAGGUGUGGGGUCCAUUCCACGGGUUCCGUGCCGUAGCUAACGCUUUAAGUACCCCGCCUGGGGAGUACGGCCGCAAGGCUAAAACUCAAAGGAAUUGACGGGGCCCCGCACAAGCGGCGGAGCAUGCGGAUUAAUUCGAUGCAACGCGUAGAACCUUACCUGGGUUUGACAUGGAUCGGGAGUGCUCAGAGAUGGGUGUGCCUCUUUUGGGGUCGGUUCACAGGUGGUGCAUGGCUGUCGUCAGCUCGUGUCGUGAGAUGUUGGGUUAAGUCCCGCAACGAGCGCAACCCUUGUUCACUGUUGCCAGCACGUUAUGGUGGGGACUCAGUGGAGACCGCCGGGGUCAACUCGGAGGAAGGUGGGGAUGACGUCAAGUCAUCAUGCCCCUUAUGUCCAGGGCUUCACGCAUGCUACAAUGGCUGGUACAGAGAGUGGCGAGCCUGUGAGGGUGAGCGAAUCUCGGAAAGCCGGUCUCAGUUCGGAUUGGGGUCAGCAACUCGACCUCAUGAAGUCGGAGUCGCUAGUAAUCGCAGAUCAGCAACGCUGCGGUGAAUACGUUCCCGGG
Molecule: ribosomal RNA, 1343 nt
Filed under: uncultured bacterium
Lineage: Bacteria
Description: 16S ribosomal RNA
Rfam family: Bacterial small subunit ribosomal RNA
Source: RNAcentral